Ornithorhynchus anatinus (platypus) is the source of this 137-nucleotide non-coding RNA. The record is from Rfam. Lineage: Eukaryota; Metazoa; Chordata; Mammalia; Monotremata; Ornithorhynchidae.
GACCCUCAGGAUCUCACCUGGAGUGUUUCCAGUACUUUACCAGCCUCAGCUAGAAGAGGGAGAGUCAAGCAGAGGCAUACCCAUUCCAUUCCUAGCUUGGGCAGAGGCUAGCAAGUGGAAGGCAAUCUGCUACAAGU